This 249-nucleotide RNase P RNA is filed under the name Gammaproteobacteria bacterium. RNAcentral's name for it is "partial RNase P RNA component class A". It matches the Rfam family "Bacterial RNase P class A", at positions 1 to 179 of the family's 367-position model. From Rfam's summary of the family: Ribonuclease P (RNase P) is a ubiquitous endoribonuclease, found in archaea, bacteria and eukarya as well as chloroplasts and mitochondria. Its best characterised activity is the generation of mature 5'-ends of tRNAs by cleaving the 5'-leader elements of precursor-tRNAs. Cellular RNase Ps are ribonucleoproteins. The record is from RNAcentral. Lineage: Bacteria; Pseudomonadati; Pseudomonadota; Gammaproteobacteria.
CGAGUCAGCUGGGCAAUCGCUGGUCCUAGUUCUUCUUUCGUCGCUUUGCGUCGUUCGAGGACGGGGUCGGAGGAAAGUCCGGGCUCCGCAGAGCAGGGUGCCAGGUAACGCCUGGGAGGCGCAAGCCUACGGCUAGUGCAGCAGAAAAUAUACCGCCAGAUCAAGCGUGAAGUCCUCAAGACCACUGUAAGGUGUGUGCUGAGAGACGUGUGAUUCGGUAAGGGUGAAAAGGUGCGGUAAGAGCGCACC